RNAcentral lists this ribosomal RNA (759 nucleotides) under uncultured bacterium. RNAcentral's name for it is "bacterial SSU rRNA". It matches the Rfam family "Bacterial small subunit ribosomal RNA", at positions 758 to 1506 of the family's 1533-position model. The record is from RNAcentral.
AGCGUGGGUAGCAAAACGGAUUAGAUACCCGUGUAGUCCACGCCGUAAACGAUCCCUGUUAGAUGUAUGUUUUGUCUGUUUAUUUUUCCCCUUCGGGGGAAGGGUAAAGGGCAAGAUGUGUGUCGUAGUUAACGCGUUAAACAGGGCGCCUGGGAAGUACGGCCGCAAGGCUAAAACCCAAAGGAAUUGACGGGGACCCGCACAAGCAGUGGAGCGCCUGGUUUAAUUCGAUGAUCAGCGAAGAACCUCACCUAGGCUUGAACUGUAGCUGCAAGCUCCCAGAAACGGGAGAAUCCUUCGAGGGUGCUACAGAGGUGCUGCAUGGCUGUCGUCAGCUCGUGUCGUGAGAUGUAGGGUUAAGUCCCACAACGAGCGCAACCCCUAUUCAGUGUUAUAAUUACUCUGAAGACUGCCCUGUCCAAACGGGGAGGAAGGAGGGGACGACGUCCAGUCAUCAUGUCCCUUAUGUCUAGGGCUACACAGACGCUACAAUGGCCGGUACAAUGGGUUGCCAAACCGCGAGGUGGAGCCAAUCCCAUCAAAGCCGGUCCCAGUUCAGAUUGCAGUCUGCAACUCGACUGCAUGAAGUCGGAAUUGCUAGUAAUCGCGAAUCAGCACGUCGCGGUGAAUACGUUCUCGGGUCUUGUACACACCGCCCGUCAGGGCACGGGAGUCGCUCUUGCUCGAAGUUCCCGAAUAAUUCGGGACCGAAAGUUAAGGGUGGCAACCAGGCUUAAGUCGUAACAAGGUAGCCGUAGA